GAUCAAAGUGUAGUAUCUGUUCUUAUCAGCUUAAUAUCUGAUACGCCCCUCACCGGGGGGCUACGAUAUUAAACUGAUUUUUGAAAUCCAGGCGAA
This 96-nucleotide small nuclear RNA is filed under the name Notocrater houbricki. Its description in RNAcentral is "partial U2 snRNA". It matches the Rfam family "U2 spliceosomal RNA", at positions 25 to 119 of the family's 192-position model. From Rfam's summary of the family: U2 is a small nuclear RNA (snRNA) component of the spliceosome (involved in pre-mRNA splicing). Complementary binding between U2 snRNA (in an area lying towards the 5' end but 3' to hairpin I) and the branchpoint sequence (BPS) of the intron results the bulging out of an unpaired adenosine, on the BPS, which initiates a nucleophilic attack at the intronic 5' splice site, thus starting the first of two transesterification reactions that mediate splicing. Lineage: Eukaryota; Metazoa; Mollusca; Gastropoda; Lepetellida; Pseudococculinidae. The record is from RNAcentral.